This 478-nucleotide ribosomal RNA is filed under the name uncultured bacterium. Its description in RNAcentral is "partial 16S ribosomal RNA". It matches the Rfam family "Bacterial small subunit ribosomal RNA", at positions 28 to 523 of the family's 1533-position model. The record is from RNAcentral.
GACGAACGCUGGCGGCGUGCUUAACACAUGCAAGUCGAACGGUAAGGCCCUUCGGGGUACACGAGUGGCGAACGGGUGAGUAACACGUGGGUGAUCUGCCCUGCACUUCGGGAUAAGCCUGGGAAACUGGGUCUAAUACCGGAUAGGACCACUGCCUGCAUGGGUGGUGGUGGAAAGCUUUUGCGGUGUGGGAUGGGCCCGCGGCCUAUCAGCUUGUUGGUGGGGUGAUGGCCUACCAAGGCGACGACGGGUAGCCGGCCUGAGAGGGUGACCGGCCACACUGGGACUGAGAUACGGCCCAGACUCCUACGGGAGGCAGCAGUGGGGAAUAUUGCACAAUGGGCGCAAGCCUGAUGCAGCGACGCCGCGUGAGGGAUGACGGCCUUCGGGUUGUAAACCUCUUUCAGCACCGACGAAGCGCAAGUGACGGUAGGUGCAGAAGAAGGACCGGCCAACUACGUGCCAGCAGCCGCCGCGG